This is a small nuclear RNA of Hippopotamus amphibius kiboko, 108 nucleotides long. Lineage: Eukaryota; Metazoa; Chordata; Mammalia; Artiodactyla; Hippopotamidae. The record is from RefSeq and is a predicted model, not a curated record.
GUGCCUACUUCAGCAGCAUAUAUACUAAAAUUGGAAUGAUACAGAGAAGAUUAGCAUGGCCCCUACGCCAAGGAUGACAUGCAAAUUCGUGAAGCACUCCAUAUUUUU